Molecule: long non-coding RNA, 339 nt
Organism: Orbicella faveolata
Lineage: Eukaryota; Metazoa; Cnidaria; Anthozoa; Scleractinia; Merulinidae
Source: RefSeq, a predicted model, not a curated record
AUCUAUCGAAAAGAUUAGAUCAGUUCGGUUCAGUUUUCACAACUUUUGCUGCAAGUUUCUGCCUGGAAGAUUUACACUGGCCGAAGUGAAUUGCCAACUUGAGAAGACAACAAAAUAUACAUGUGUAUACAUUAUAACCUGAUGUUGGUGUUGGUUGUGAAUCGCAAUUUAUAUUAGUCAUCCUAUUACAGAGAAUUACCACCUAAUGUGGAAGUCCUGUCUUCAAGUGAGGGAAAAUGACACUGCAAAAAGUUACAAAAAUAGUUACAACGAAAUUAAAAAGAAUUUUGAAUGUCGAUCAUGACUUGGUGUAAAUUGUACAUCAUGUAAAGGUAUGUG